RNAcentral lists this ribosomal RNA (301 nucleotides) under uncultured bacterium. Its description in RNAcentral is "partial 16S ribosomal RNA". It matches the Rfam family "Bacterial small subunit ribosomal RNA", at positions 509 to 809 of the family's 1533-position model. The record is from RNAcentral.
CAGUAGCCGCGGUAAUACAGAGGGUGCGAGCGUUAAUCGGAUUUACUGGGCGUAAAGCGUGCGUAGGAGGCUUCUUAAGUCGGAUGUGAAAUCCCUGAGCUUAACUUAGGAAUUGCAUUCGAUACUGGGAAGCUAGAGUAUGGGAGAGGAUGGUAGAAUUCCAGGUGUAGCGGUGAAAUGCGUAGAGAUCUGGAGGAAUACCGAUGGCGAAGGCAGCCAUCUGGCCUAAUACUGACGCUGAGGUACGAAAGCAUGGGGAGCAAACAGGAUUAGAUACCCGGGUAGUCCCUGUCUCUUAUAA